GCCAGGGGUAGGGGCACACCCCUGUAGUUUCUGCUAUGGAGGAGGCUAAAGCCAGUGGAUUGCUUGAGCUCAGGAGUUCUGAGCUUCAGUAAAGCUAAAGCUGAUCAAGUGUCUGCACUAAGUUGGGUACCAAUGUGGUGAACUCCUGGGAACAGUGCCCACCAUGCUGUCUAAGGAGAGGCUAGGUCAGGAAAGGAACAGGCCACGGCUUCCACGUGGAUGAGUUGUGGGAUUGGCCCGUGAGAGGCCAAUACAUUUAUAGCCUAGGUGAGAUAGGGAGAACAGGUCUUA
Molecule: signal recognition particle RNA, 291 nt
Filed under: Phascolarctos cinereus (koala)
Lineage: Eukaryota; Metazoa; Chordata; Mammalia; Diprotodontia; Phascolarctidae
Description: Metazoan signal recognition particle RNA (ENSPCIG00000018931.2)
Rfam family: Metazoan signal recognition particle RNA
About the family: The signal recognition particle (SRP) is a universally conserved ribonucleoprotein. It is involved in the co-translational targeting of proteins to membranes. The eukaryotic SRP consists of a 300-nucleotide 7S RNA and six proteins: SRPs 72, 68, 54, 19, 14, and 9.
Source: RNAcentral